This 306-nucleotide ribosomal RNA is filed under the name uncultured bacterium. RNAcentral's name for it is "partial 16S ribosomal RNA". It matches the Rfam family "Bacterial small subunit ribosomal RNA", at positions 507 to 808 of the family's 1533-position model. The record is from RNAcentral.
GACAGCAGUGCCGCGGUAAUACGAAGGGGGCUAGCGUUGCUCGGAAUGACUGGGCGUAAAGGGCGCGUAGGCGGAUGGCACAGUCAGAUGUGAAAUUCCCGGGCUUAACCUGGGGGCUGCAUUUGAUACGUGUUGUCUAGAGUGAGGAAGAGGGUUGUGGAAUUCCCAGUGUAGAGGUGAAAUUCGUAGAUAUUGGGAAGAACACCGGUGGCGAAGGCGGCAACCUGGUCCUUGACUGACGCUGAGGCGCGAAAGCGUGGGGAGCAAACAGGAUUAGAUACCUCAGUAGUCCCUGUCUCUUAUACC